RNAcentral lists this long non-coding RNA (215 nucleotides) under Olea europaea (common olive). RNAcentral's name for it is "long non-coding RNA (OEUR_LNC013898)". The record is from RNAcentral. Lineage: Eukaryota; Viridiplantae; Streptophyta; Magnoliopsida; Lamiales; Oleaceae.
CUGAGUCCAAUUUCACGGGCCGUUUCCAAUCAACCUGCGAAAUUUCGGCCCAUUCCGACAACGUCGCUAAAGAUGACAAAAUAGCCCUUGGUGCGGUUUUUCUUUGUUAAUUUACUGUCCAACAUUUCUUCAACCAGACAUAAUUAGUAAGGAAAUUAAUCAUUCGGAAGCCCAAACGAAUGAAUUUAGCUAAAAUCCCGUUAGCCCGGGUUUGC